AGUCAGUCGUGCUCAAUGGACUCAGCCGUUCUGCGGUGUAUUUCCAUUGGGUGGGGUCAACAUCAGUUUUGAUCGCUGGAUAAAGGCAGGAGGAAUGUAGCACCCCCGGGUGAACUUAUAGCCUCUUGUCACAUACAGUGGUUGGGACUGAGGAACGCAGCAUGCCUUUAUGGCCGGGAUUCGUCCACGUACAUGCUUAGGAUGUUGACAUAAUGGCUUUAAACGACCCGUCUUGA
RNAcentral lists this ribosomal RNA (236 nucleotides) under Filobasidium uniguttulatum. RNAcentral describes it as "partial 28S rRNA". Lineage: Eukaryota; Fungi; Basidiomycota; Tremellomycetes; Filobasidiales; Filobasidiaceae. The record is from RNAcentral.